GGAGAGGUGCAGGAGUGGCUGAACUGGCUCGCCUGGAAAGCGAGUGUUCCGAUUGCAUCGGAACCGAGGGUUCGAAUCCCUCUCUCUCCG
This 90-nucleotide transfer RNA is filed under the name Lishizhenia tianjinensis. RNAcentral's name for it is "marine bacterium H6 tRNA". It matches the Rfam family "tRNA". From Rfam's summary of the family: Transfer RNA (tRNA) molecules are approximately 80 nucleotides in length. Their secondary structure includes four short double-helical elements and three loops (D, anti-codon, and T loops). The record is from Rfam by way of RNAcentral. Lineage: Bacteria; Pseudomonadati; Bacteroidota; Flavobacteriia; Flavobacteriales; Crocinitomicaceae.